GUAGGUGGCAAGCGUUGUCCGGAAUUAUUGGGCGUAAAGCGCGCGCAGGUGGUUCUUUAAGUCUGAUGUGAAAGCCCCCGGCUCAACCGGGGAGGGUCAUUGGAAACUGGGGAACCUGAGUGCAGGAGAGGAAAGUGGAAUUCCACGUGUAGCGGUGAAAUGCGUAGAUAUGUGGAGGAACACCAGUGGCGAAGGCGACUUUCUGGCCUGUAACUGACACUGAGGCGCGAAAGCGUGGGGAGCAAACAGGGAUUAGAUACCCUGGUAGUCCACGCCGUAAACGAUGAGUGCUAAGUGUUGGGGGGGUUUCCGCCCCCGUCAGUGCUGCAGCUAACGCAUUAAGCACUCCGCCCUGGGAGUACGGUCGCAAGACUG
RNAcentral lists this ribosomal RNA (375 nucleotides) under uncultured organism. RNAcentral's name for it is "partial 16S ribosomal RNA". It matches the Rfam family "Bacterial small subunit ribosomal RNA", at positions 527 to 896 of the family's 1533-position model. The record is from RNAcentral.